GAUGAACGCUGGCGGCGUGCCUAAUACAUGCAAGUCGAGCGAACGGACGAGAAGCUUGCUUCUCUGAUGUUAGCGGCGGACGGGUGAGUAACACGUGGAUAACCUACCUAUAAGACUGGGAUAACUUCGGGAAACCGGAGCUAAUACCGGAUAAUAUUUUGAACCGCAUGGUUCAAAAGUGAAAGACGGUCUUGCUGUCACUUAUAGAUGGAUCCGCGCUGCAUUAGCUAGUUGGUAAGGUAACGGCUUACCAAGGCAACGAUGCAUAGCCGACCUGAGAGGGUGAUCGGCCACACUGGAACUGAGGCACGGUCCAGACUCCUACGGGAGGCAGCAGUAGGGAAUCUUCCGCAAUGGGCGAAAGCCUGACGGAGCAACGCCGCGUGAGUGAUGAAGGUCUUCGGAUCGUAAAACUCUGUUAUUAGGGAAGAACAUAUGUGUAAGUAACUGUGCACAUCUUGACGGUACCUAAUCAGAAAGCCACGGCUAACUACGUGCCAGCAGCCGCGGUAAUACGUAGGUGGCAAGCGUUAUCCGGAAUUAUUGGGCGUAAAGCGCGCGUAGGCGGUUUUUUAAGUCUGAUGUGAAAGCCCACGGCUCAACCGUGGAGGGUCAUUGGAAACUGGAAAACUUGAGUGCAGAAGAGGAAAGUGGAAUUCCAUGUGUAGCGGUGAAAUGCGCAGAGAUAUGGAGGAACACCAGUGGCGAAGGCGACUUUCUGGUCUGUAACUGACGCUGAUGUGCGAAAGCGUGGGGAUCAAACAGGAUUAGAUACCCUGGUAGUCCACGCCGUAAACGAUGAGUGCUAAGUGUUAGGGGGUUUCCGCCCCUUAGUGCUGCAGCUAACGCAUUAAGCAUUCCGCCUGGGGAGUACGACCGCAAGGUUGAAACUCAAAGGAAUUGACGGGGACCCGCACAAGCGGUGGAGCAUGUGGUUUAAUUCGGAGCAACGCGAAGAACCUUACCAAAUCUUGACAUCCUUUGACAACUCUAGAGAUAGAGCUUUCCCCUUCGGGGGACAAAGUGACAGGUGGUGCAUGGUUGUCGUCAGCUCGUGUCGUGAGAUGUUGGGUUAAGUCCCGCAACGAGCGCAACCCUUAAGCUUAGUUGCCAUCAUUAAGUUGGGCACUCUAAGUUGACUGCCGGUGGCAAACCGGAGGAAGGUGGGGAUGACGUCAAAUCAUCAUGCCCCUUAUGAUUUGGGCUACACACGUGCUACAAUGGACAAUACAAAGGGCAGCGAAACCGCGAGGUCAAGCAAAUCCCAUAAAGUUGUUCUCAGUUCGGAUUGUAGUCUGCAACUCGACUACAUGAAGCUGGAAUCGCUAGUAAUCGUAGAUCAGCAUGCUACGGUGAAUACGUUCCCGGGUCU
This 1372-nucleotide ribosomal RNA is filed under the name uncultured bacterium. Its description in RNAcentral is "bacterial SSU rRNA". It matches the Rfam family "Bacterial small subunit ribosomal RNA", at positions 28 to 1381 of the family's 1533-position model. The record is from RNAcentral.